CGCACGGGUGCGUAACGCGUAUGCAACCUACCUCUAACUGGGGAAUAGCCCCGAGAAAUCGGGAUUAAUACCUCAUAACAUUUAUCAUUCGCAUGUUUGAUAAAUUAAAGUUUCGGCGGUUAGAGAUGGGCAUGCGUGACAUUAGCUUGUUGGUGAGGUAACGGCUCACCAAGGCUGCGAUGUCUAGGGGUUCUGAGAGGAUUUUCCCCCACACUGGUACUGAGACACGGACCAG
RNAcentral lists this ribosomal RNA (235 nucleotides) under uncultured bacterium. Its description in RNAcentral is "partial 16S ribosomal RNA". It matches the Rfam family "Bacterial small subunit ribosomal RNA", at positions 99 to 334 of the family's 1533-position model. The record is from RNAcentral.